GUUUAUUCGUGGUUCAGGAUAAACGUGGGCGGUGUGCCUAAUACAUGCAAGUCGAACGGCGACGAUUUUGUAGCAAUACGAUGGAAAUCAUAGUGGCGAACGGAUGAGUAACGCGUUGGUGAUCUGCCUCGAAGUGUGGAAUAACUCCCGAAAGGGUAGCUAAUACCGCAUAGUCUCUCAAGGUAUAGAAAAUUGAGAGUAAAGGAUUUAUUCGCUUCGAGAGGAGCCUGCGUCCCAUCAGCUAGUUGGUAGGGUAAUAGCCUACCAAGGCAAUGACGGGUAGGGGACCUGAGAGGGUGGCCCCCCACAAUGGAACUGUAACACGGUCCAUACACCUACGGGUGGCAGCAGUAGGGAAUAUUAGAAAUGGGCGAAAGCCUGAUCUAGCAACACCGCGUGUGCGAUGAAGGCCUUCGGGUUGUAAAGCACUUUUUGGAGGGAAUAGGAAGGAAGGUACCUCCAGAAUAAGUCUCGGAUAAGUACGUGCCAGCAGCCGCGGUAACAUGUAGGAGGCAAACGUUAUCCGGAUUCACUGGGCGUAAAGCGCGUGUAGGUGGUUCUGUAAGUAGGGUGUGAAAGCUCCCGGCUCAACUGGGAGAGGCCGUACUAAACUGCAGAGCUAGAGGAUGGUAGAGGGAGGUGGAAUUCCAGGUGUAGUGGUGAAAUGCGCAGAUAUCUGGAGGAACACCAGUGGCGAAGGCGGCCUCCUGGACCAUUCCUGACACUCAGACGCGAAAGCUAGGGUAGCAAACGGAAUUAGAGACUCCGGUAGUCCUAGCCCUAAACGAUGCAGACUAGGCGUCGGCGGUUUAAUCACCGUCGGUGUCCAAGCUAACGCGAU
This 841-nucleotide ribosomal RNA is filed under the name uncultured bacterium. RNAcentral's name for it is "bacterial SSU rRNA". It matches the Rfam family "Bacterial small subunit ribosomal RNA", at positions 11 to 861 of the family's 1533-position model. The record is from RNAcentral.